This 468-nucleotide ribosomal RNA is filed under the name uncultured bacterium. Its description in RNAcentral is "partial 16S ribosomal RNA". It matches the Rfam family "Bacterial small subunit ribosomal RNA", at positions 28 to 507 of the family's 1533-position model. The record is from RNAcentral.
GACGAACGCUGGCGGCGUGCUUAACACAUGCAAGUCGAACGGAAAGGCCCUGCUUUUGUGGGGUGCUCGAGUGGCGAACGGGUGAGUAACACGUGAGUAACCUGCCCUUGACUUUGGGAUAACUUCAGGAAACUGGGGCUAAUACCGGAUAGGAGCUCCUGCUGCAUGGUGGGGGUUGGAAAGUUUCGGCGGUUGGGGAUGGACUCGCGGCUUAUCAGCUUGUUGGUGGGGUAGUGGCUUACCAAGGCUUUGACGGGUAGUCGGCCUGAGAGGGUGACCGGCCACAUUGGGACUGAGAUACGGCCCAGACUCCUACGGGAGGCAGCAGUGGGGAAUAUUGCACAAUGGGCGAAAGCCUGAUGCAGCAACGCCGCGUGCGGGAUGACGGCCUUCGGGUCGUAAACCGCUUUCGCCUGUGACGAAGCGUGAGUGACGGUAAUGGGUAAAGAAGCACCGGCUAACUACGUG